UGCAGUCGAUUCAAGUUACCUUCGGGUAAUGAGGAUGGCGGACGGGUGAGUAACGCGUAAGGAACUUGCCUCUUGGACUGGGACAACUGUUGGAAACGACAGCUAAUACCGGAUAUUAUGAGAUUCUCGCAUGAGAAAUUUAUGAAAGCUAUAUGCGCCAAGAGAGAGCCUUGCGUUCCAUUAGCUAGUUGGUGGGGUAACGGCCCACCAAGGCGACGAUGGAUAGCCGGCCUGAGAGGGUGAACGGCCACAAGGGGACUGAGACACGGCCCUUACUCCUACGGGAGGCAGCAGUGGGGAAUAUUGGACAAUGGGCCACAAGCCUGAUCCAGCAAUUCUGUGUGCACGAUGAAGGUCUUCGGAUUGUAAAGUGCUUUCAGUUGGGAAGAAGAAAGUGACGGUACCAACAGAAGAAGCGACGGCUAAAUACGUGCCAGCAGCCGCGGUAAUACGUAUGUCGCAAGCGUUAUCCGGAUUUAUUGGGCGUAAAGCGCGUCUAGGCGGAAAAAUAAGUCUGAUGUUAAAAUGCGGGGCUCAACUCCGUAUUGCGUUGGAAACUGUUUUUCUAGAGUACUGGAGAGGUGGGCGGAACUACAAGUGUAGAGGUGAAAUUCGUAGAUAUUUGUAGGAAUGCCGAUGGAGAAGUCAGCUCACUGGACAGAUACUGAUGCUGA
Molecule: ribosomal RNA, 674 nt
Filed under: uncultured bacterium
Lineage: Bacteria
Description: bacterial SSU rRNA
Rfam family: Bacterial small subunit ribosomal RNA
Source: RNAcentral